UACGUAGGGUGCGAGCGUUGUCCGGAAUUAUUGGGCGUAAAGAGCUCGUAGGCGGUCUGUCGCGUCUGCUGUGAAAUCCCGAGGCUCAACCUCGGGCUUGCAGUGGGUACGGGCAGGCUAGAGUGCGGUAGGGGAGAAUGGAACUCCUGGUGUAGCGGUGGAAUGCGCAGAUAUCAGGAAGAACACCGAUGGCGAAGGCAGUUCUCUGGGCCGUAACUGACGCUGAGGAGUGAAAGCGUGGGGAGCGAACAGG
Molecule: ribosomal RNA, 253 nt
Filed under: uncultured bacterium
Lineage: Bacteria
Description: partial 16S ribosomal RNA
Rfam family: Bacterial small subunit ribosomal RNA
Source: RNAcentral